RNAcentral lists this ribosomal RNA (301 nucleotides) under uncultured bacterium. RNAcentral describes it as "partial 16S ribosomal RNA". It matches the Rfam family "Bacterial small subunit ribosomal RNA", at positions 509 to 809 of the family's 1533-position model. The record is from RNAcentral.
CAGCCGCCACGGUAAAACGUAGGUGGCAAGCGUUGUCCGGAAUUAUUGGGCGUAAAGGGCUCGCAGGCGGUUUCUUAAGUCUGACGUGAAAACCCCCGGCUCAACCGGGGAGGGUCAUUGGAAACUGGGAAACUUGAGUGCAGAAGAGGAGAGUGGAAUUCCACGUGUAGCGGUGAAAUGCGUAGAGAUGUGGAGGAACACCAGUGGCGAAGGCGACUCUCUGGUCUGUAACUGACGCUGAGGAGCGAAAGCGUGGGGAGCGAACAGGAUUAGAUACCCGAGUAGUCCCUGUCUCUUAUAU